AUAAACUGUUAGGUGAGACUCCUACGUGAACAAAUGCUAUCGCCCGGAAACAUCCAGAGAUGCCAACGGGUCAAAUAGUUUUCGUCGAUAUAAGGCGCAAACCAGAUAGCUAGCAGCACAAGCUUACGUCACGUAGUGUUAAAACUGAACGAUGAGUA
RNAcentral lists this small RNA (158 nucleotides) under Lactobacillus melliventris. RNAcentral's name for it is "M-box riboswitch (ykoK leader)". It matches the Rfam family "M-box riboswitch aptamer (ykoK leader)". Rfam says of the family: M-box riboswitch, also know as ykoK leader is described as a metaloregulatory RNA that sense divalent metals and function as a genetic control element of genes related to divalent metal transport in bacteria. It was first reported upstream of the B.subtilis ykoK gene and genes with related functions in other bacteria. Phylogenetic analysis of the distribution of M-box RNAs across bacterial genomes revealed that M-box riboswitches are most often employed for the regulation of Mg2+ transporter genes RNAcentral also lists the same sequence under 1 other name. Lineage: Bacteria; Bacillati; Bacillota; Bacilli; Lactobacillales; Lactobacillaceae. The record is from RNAcentral.